CUCCAGACUCCUACGGGAGGCAGCAGUGGGGGAUAUUGCACAAUGGGGGAAACCCUGAUGCAGCGACACCGCGUGGGUGAGGAAGCGCUUCGGCGUGUAAAGCCCUAUCAGUGGGGAAGAAAAAGGACGGUACCCAAAGAAGAAGCACCGGCUAAAUACGUGCCAGCAGCCGCGGGAAUACGGAGGAUGCGAGCGUUAUCCGGAUUUAUUGGGUUUAAAGGGUGCGUAGGCGGAAUAUCAAGUCAGCGGUAAAAAUUCGGGGCUCAACCCCGUCGUGCCGUUGAAACUGAUGUUCUUGAGUGGGCGAGAAGUAUGCGGAAUGCGUGGUGUAGCGGUGAAAUGCAUAGAUAUCACGCAGAACUCCGAUUGCGAAGGCAGCAUACCGGCGCCCAACUGACGCUGAAGCACGAAAGCGUGGGUAUCGAACAGGAUUAGAUACCCGAGUA
This 446-nucleotide ribosomal RNA is filed under the name uncultured bacterium. RNAcentral describes it as "bacterial SSU rRNA". It matches the Rfam family "Bacterial small subunit ribosomal RNA", at positions 329 to 792 of the family's 1533-position model. The record is from RNAcentral.